AAGUAUGACAUAAUUUUGGCACAAAAACUUGAAAGUGUGAAACAAGGUAACAUAGAAAGAAGAUGACCGCAAUACUUGAACAUACAUCUGGACCUUAUUCAAGUGCAACAUAUAUUGUGUCGAAGUAAACACAAGAUAUCGAAGUUUGGUACAAACAGAACAUAAAAAAAACAGUACACUUUAUAGCACAACAAACAAACGUAAUGUUUUUCUUGGUUUAGUAUGCAACUUGAAACGUUUUCCCAGUAGCGUUUUCAUCUUAGCUUCAUCACAUUGUAGGCUUUACAGUGAGACGAGAAGCGACCUUCUGACCACAAGACUUGUCAGCCUGCAAUGAAUCCGCGCAAAAGAUUAGUUUUCGUUUCCCGCUCUUAAUGUAAGGAUAAAGAAUCAUGCGAAAGAAGAAAAACUCAAACCUGAGACAAGUAUGAUAUCCAUAUACUGCGUAUCUCAUAAGUGACUCGGGGAUCAGAUAAAUGCUCAACCCAUUUGCUAACAUAUCUGUCUUGCCUGAAAUAGUACAAGUACUCAAUUAUUCUGCAGGUUCUUGAGAGAGGGAAGAAUUGGCGAUAUUAAUGUUAUAGAACAACCAAAUUAAAUUACCUGUCAGGUUCCCAGGAUCUGUAUCUCUCUCCUGCCUGCUUGAAGUUGUUCUCUUUUUCAAUGACACACUAAAACACCAAUAAUAUAUAUGUGAGUGAAGAUUAAACUCAUUUAAGAAUACAACUCCCUGCACUGAUUAAUGAUUAUGAUGAACAAUAAGUAAAGAGGGUCUCACCAUUUCACGCCUUCCUGUCAAGACACGAGAAGGAAUUGGGUACUGUUCGGCAUGACGACAAGGAUCAAACCUUGAGGGCAAAUAAUCCACCUGCAACAUCAAGUCACAACAUCAGAAGAGUACUAAUAUGAACUUGCAAUUAGCCUUGGUAAGUCAAAAACAUUAGUAUACCUCUUCAUCGCGAUGCAUGAAGUUCAUAGCACCAUCGCGGUGAUUAUUGUGAUGAGCACACUUGGGAGCAUUAACAGGAAGCUGCAUAUAGUUUGGUCCAAUGCGGUGUCUCUGAGUAUCAGCAUACGCGAAUAUCCUGGUCUGGAGAAGCUUAUCCUCCGAAUAGUAAACACCAGGGACAAUAUGGCCAGGGUUAAACGCGAGCUGCUCAUUCUCAGCGAAGAAGUUAUCAAUGUUCCUAUUCAAUACCAAUCGACCAACUGGCAUCAAUGGCAAGAUAUCCUCAGGCCAGGUCUUGGUUACAUCAAGAGGAUCAAAGUCGAAUUUGUCUACAUCCUCAGUAUCCAUAAUUUGGAUAAAAAGUUUCCACUCGGGAUAGUUUCCAGCAGCAAUCGAGUCGUAGAGAUCCUUGGUGGCGUGGCUAUGAUUUGUACCUCCGACCCUAAUAGCUUCUUCCUCCGACAUGCACUUAACACCACAAGUUGGCUUCCAGUGAAAUUUCACAUAAUGUGCUUUCCCAGCCUUGUUUAUUAAUUGAUAGGCGUGAACACCAUACCCUUCCAUGUGUCUGUAAUCUGUCGGGAGACAAACAUCAUCGAAGAACCAAGCGAAAGUAUGCAAACUCUCCGGAAGGAAAGAGAAGAAAUCAAGGAUCCUCCAGUAUUCCUGAAUGUGUGACUUUGGAUUUGGUUUCAGUGCACGAAUCGUGUCAGGGAACGAUUUUGCAUCACGAUUAAAGAAGACGGGAACGUUGUUUCCAACCAGAUCAAAGUUACCCUGAUUCAUAAAAACAAGUAAAGAUACAGAAGUAAAUUAAGAAAAUACAAUUCCAAGAAAGCAGUAAGUUGAUGUGAUAAGGCAAAUUACCUCUCUGGUGUAAAAUUUGACAGCAAAACCGCGAAUGUCCCUAAGGGACUCGGGGCUUCCACGCUCAUGGACGACAGUAGAGAAGCGGCAAAUAACAGGUGUUUGAACACCAGGAGCUCGGAGAAAAUCAGCACAGGUAAGAUGAGA
Molecule: long non-coding RNA, 1963 nt
Filed under: Nicotiana tabacum (common tobacco)
Lineage: Eukaryota; Viridiplantae; Streptophyta; Magnoliopsida; Solanales; Solanaceae
Description: long non-coding RNA (NTAB_LNC001781)
Source: RNAcentral